RNAcentral lists this ribosomal RNA (610 nucleotides) under Carnobacterium sp. MYb228. RNAcentral describes it as "bacterial SSU rRNA". It matches the Rfam family "Bacterial small subunit ribosomal RNA", at positions 61 to 649 of the family's 1533-position model. Lineage: Bacteria; Bacillati; Bacillota; Bacilli; Lactobacillales; Carnobacteriaceae. The record is from RNAcentral.
GUCGAACGCACGAAGUUGAAGAGCUUGCUCUUUAACCAGUGAGUGGCGGACGGGUGAGUAACACGUGGGUAACCUGCCCAUUAGAGGGGGAUAACAUUCGGAAACGGAUGCUAAUACCGCAUAGUUUCAGGAAUCGCAUGAUUCUUGAAGGAAAGGUGGCUUCGGCUACCACUAAUGGAUGGACCCGCGGCGUAUUAGCUAGUUGGUGAGGUAAUGGCUCACCAAGGCAAUGAUACGUAGCCGACCUGAGAGGGUGAUCGGCCACACUGGGACUGAGACACGGCCCAGACUCCUACGGGAGGCAGCAGUAGGGAAUCUUCCGCAAUGGACGAAAGUCUGACGGAGCAACGCCGCGUGAGUGAAGAAGGUUUUCGGAUCGUAAAACUCUGUUGUUAAAGAAGAACAAGGAUGAGAGUAACUGCUCAUCCCCUGACGGUAUUUAACCAGAAAGCCACGGCUAACUACGUGCCAGCAGCCGCGGUAAUACGUAGGUGGCAAGCGUUGUCCGGAUUUAUUGGGCGUAAAGCGAGCGCAGGCGGUUCUUUAAGUCUGAUGUGAAAGCCCCCGGCUCAACCGGGGAGGGUCAUUGGAAACUGGAGAACUUGAGUGC